GACGAACGCUGGCGGCGUGCCUAAUACAUGCAAGUAGAACGCUGAAGGAGGAGCUUGCUUCUCUGGAUGAGUUGCGAACGGGUGAGUAACGCGUAGGUAACCUGCCUGGUAGCGGGGGAUAACUAUUGGAAACGAUAGCUAAUACCGCAUAAUAGCAGUUAUUGCAUGAUAACUGUUUGAAAGGUGCAAUUGCAUCACUACCAGAUGGACCUGCGUUGUAUUAGCUAGUUGGUGGGGUAACGGCUCACCAAGGCGACGAUACAUAGCCGACCUGAGAGGGUGAUCGGCCACACUGGGACUGAGACACGGCCCAGACUCCUACGGGAGGCAGCAGUAGGGAAUCUUCGGCAAUGGACGGAAGUCUGACCGAGCAACGCCGCGUGAGUGAAGAAGGUUUUCGGAUCGUAAAGCUCUGUUGUAAGAGAAGAACGAGUGUGAGAGUGGAAAGUUCACACUGAGAC
Molecule: ribosomal RNA, 461 nt
Filed under: Streptococcus mitis
Lineage: Bacteria; Bacillati; Bacillota; Bacilli; Lactobacillales; Streptococcaceae
Description: bacterial SSU rRNA
Rfam family: Bacterial small subunit ribosomal RNA
Source: RNAcentral